CCUGAGCUGGAGAGAGAAUGCAAGGAGGAUGAUAGCAGCUGCCGCAGGCCCACGGCCAUGAACUUGCAGGAAAAUGUGACCCUGGCCAUCGCUGUAUUCACCAUCCUGGCAUCCAUCUACUUCUUCAACAAGGCUCAGAAGUGAGAAGACCCAGAACUGCUGCCCCGAGCCCUGGACUCUGCCUCUGAGGCUGAAUAAAUGUAAC
Molecule: long non-coding RNA, 205 nt
Organism: Sorex fumeus (smoky shrew)
Lineage: Eukaryota; Metazoa; Chordata; Mammalia; Eulipotyphla; Soricidae
Exons: 3
Source: RefSeq, a predicted model, not a curated record